UACGUAGGGCGCAAGCGUUGUCCGGAAUUAUUGGGCGUAAAGAGCUCGUAGGCGGCUUGUCACGUCGGAUGUGAAAGCCCGAGGCUUAACCUCGGGUCUGCAUUCGAUACGGGCUAGCUAGAGUGUGGUAGGGGAGAUCGGAAUUCCUGGUGUAGCGGUGAAAUACGUAGAUAUCAGGUGGAACAUCGGUGGCGAAGGCGGCUCACUGGACCAGUACUGACACUGAGGAGCGAAAGCAUGGGGAUCAAACAGG
This 253-nucleotide ribosomal RNA is filed under the name uncultured bacterium. RNAcentral describes it as "partial 16S ribosomal RNA". It matches the Rfam family "Bacterial small subunit ribosomal RNA", at positions 524 to 776 of the family's 1533-position model. The record is from RNAcentral.